AGCUUUCUUUAUCCGUUCUGAGAUUUCGUCACAUACCAGACCAAAAGGGCUGAUGAGGCUUCAAAGUGAAGCG
This 73-nucleotide microRNA precursor is filed under the name Schistosoma margrebowiei. Its description in RNAcentral is "mir-3492 microRNA precursor family". It matches the Rfam family "mir-3492 microRNA precursor family". Lineage: Eukaryota; Metazoa; Platyhelminthes; Trematoda; Strigeidida; Schistosomatidae. The record is from Rfam by way of RNAcentral.